This 1528-nucleotide ribosomal RNA is filed under the name Salmonella enterica. RNAcentral's name for it is "bacterial SSU rRNA". It matches the Rfam family "Bacterial small subunit ribosomal RNA". The record is from RNAcentral. Lineage: Bacteria; Pseudomonadati; Pseudomonadota; Gammaproteobacteria; Enterobacterales; Enterobacteriaceae.
AAAUUGAAGAGUUUGAUCAUGGCUCAGAUUGAACGCUGGCGGCAGGCCUAACACAUGCAAGUCGAACGGUAACAGGAAGCAGCUUGCUGCUUUGCUGACGAGUGGCGGACGGGUGAGUAAUGUCUGGGAAACUGCCUGAUGGAGGGGGAUAACUACUGGAAACGGUGGCUAAUACCGCAUAACGUCGCAAGACCAAAGAGGGGGACCUUCGGGCCUCUUGCCAUCAGAUGUGCCCAGAUGGGAUUAGCUUGUUGGUGAGGUAACGGCUCACCAAGGCGACGAUCCCUAGCUGGUCUGAGAGGAUGACCAGCCACACUGGAACUGAGACACGGUCCAGACUCCUACGGGAGGCAGCAGUGGGGAAUAUUGCACAAUGGGCGCAAGCCUGAUGCAGCCAUGCCGCGUGUAUGAAGAAGGCCUUCGGGUUGUAAAGUACUUUCAGCGGGGAGGAAGGUGUUGUGGUUAAUAACCGCAGCAAUUGACGUUACCCGCAGAAGAAGCACCGGCUAACUCCGUGCCAGCAGCCGCGGUAAUACGGAGGGUGCAAGCGUUAAUCGGAAUUACUGGGCGUAAAGCGCACGCAGGCGGUCUGUCAAGUCGGAUGUGAAAUCCCCGGGCUCAACCUGGGAACUGCAUUCGAAACUGGCAGGCUUGAGUCUUGUAGAGGGGGGUAGAAUUCCAGGUGUAGCGGUGAAAUGCGUAGAGAUCUGGAGGAAUACCGGUGGCGAAGGCGGCCCCCUGGACAAAGACUGACGCUCAGGUGCGAAAGCGUGGGGAGCAAACAGGAUUAGAUACCCUGGUAGUCCACGCCGUAAACGAUGUCUACUUGGAGGUUGUGCCCUUGAGGCGUGGCUUCCGGAGCUAACGCGUUAAGUAGACCGCCUGGGGAGUACGGCCGCAAGGUUAAAACUCAAAUGAAUUGACGGGGGCCCGCACAAGCGGUGGAGCAUGUGGUUUAAUUCGAUGCAACGCGAAGAACCUUACCUGGUCUUGACAUCCACAGAACUUUCCAGAGAUGGAUUGGUGCCUUCGGGAACUGUGAGACAGGUGCUGCAUGGCUGUCGUCAGCUCGUGUUGUGAAAUGUUGGGUUAAGUCCCGCAACGAGCGCAACCCUUAUCCUUUGUUGCCAGCGGUCCGGCCGGGAACUCAAAGGAGACUGCCAGUGAUAAACUGGAGGAAGGUGGGGAUGACGUCAAGUCAUCAUGGCCCUUACGACCAGGGCUACACACGUGCUACAAUGGCGCAUACAAAGAGAAGCGACCUCGCGAGAGCAAGCGGACCUCAUAAAGUGCGUCGUAGUCCGGAUUGGAGUCUGCAACUCGACUCCAUGAAGUCGGAAUCGCUAGUAAUCGUGGAUCAGAAUGCCACGGUGAAUACGUUCCCGGGCCUUGUACACACCGCCCGUCACACCAUGGGAGUGGGUUGCAAAAGAAGUAGGUAGCUUAACCUUCGGGAGGGCGCUUACCACUUUGUGAUUCAUGACUGGGGUGAAGUCGUAACAAGGUAACCGUAGGGGAACCUGCGGUU